RNAcentral lists this ribosomal RNA (853 nucleotides) under uncultured bacterium. RNAcentral's name for it is "bacterial SSU rRNA". It matches the Rfam family "Bacterial small subunit ribosomal RNA", at positions 8 to 856 of the family's 1533-position model. The record is from RNAcentral.
AGAGUUUGAUCCUGGCUCAGGAUGAACGCUAGCUACAGGCUUAACACAUGCAAGUCGAGGGGCAGCAUGUCGGUUGCUUGCAACCGAUGAUGGCGACCGGCGCACGGGUGAGUAACGCGUAUCCAACCUACCCUUGUCCAUCGGAUAACCCGUCGAAAGGCGGCCUAACACGAUAUGCGGUUCACAGCAGGCAUCUAACGUGAACGAAAUGUGAAGGAGAAGGAUGGGGAUGCGUCUGAUUAGCUUGUUGGCGGGGUAACGGCCCACCAAGGCAACGAUCAGUAGGGGUUCUGAGAGGAAGGUCCCCCACAUUGGAACUGAGACACGGUCCAAACUCCUACGGGAGGCAGCAGUGAGGAAUAUUGGUCAAUGGACGAGAGUCUGAACCAGCCAAGUAGCGUGCAGGAUGACGGCCCUAUGGGUUGUAAACUGCUUUUAUAGGGGGAUAAAGUGUGCCACGUGUGGCAUAUUGCAGGUACCCUAUGAAUAAGGACCGGCUAAUUCCGUGCCAGCAGCCGCGGUAAUACGGAAGGUCCGGGCGUUAUCCGGAUUUAUUGGGUUUAAAGGGAGCGUAGGCCGUUUGGUAAGCGUGUUGUGAAAUGUCGGGGCUCAACCUGGGCAUUGCAGCGCGAACUGCCAGACUUGAGUGCGCAGGAAGUAGGCGGAAUUCGUCGUGUAGCGGUGAAAUGCUUAGAUAUGACGAAGAACUCCGAUUGCGAAGGCAGCCUGCUGUAGCGCAACUGACGCUGAAGCUCGAAAGCGUGGGUAUCGAACAGGAUUAGAUACCCUGGUAGUCCACGCGGUAAACGAUGGAUGCUCGCUGUUUGCGUCUGACGUAAGCGGCCAAGCGAAA